UGAGCAGCAAUAGCUCAAAUUUGAAAUCUGGCGUCUUCGACGUCCGAGUUGUAAUUUGUANAGGAUGCUUCUGAAUAACCACCGACCUAAGUUCCUUGGAACAGGACGUCAUAAAGGGAGAGAAUCCCGUAUGCGGUCAGAAAGGUGCUCUAUACGGAGCUCCUUCGACGAGUCGAGUUGUUUGGGAAUGCUUUUCUAAAUGGGAGGUAAAUUUCUUCUAAAGUUAAAUAUUGGCCACANACCGAUAGCGCACAAGUAGAGUGAUCGAAAGAUGAANAGCACUUUGGAAAGAGAGUUAAAAAUCACGUGAAAUUGUUAAAAGGGAAGGGAUUGCAACCAGACUUGCUCGCNUNUNCCNCCGGUCUUCUGACCGGUCUACUCGCCGCGUUGC
Molecule: ribosomal RNA, 391 nt
Filed under: fungal endophyte sp. DM129
Lineage: Eukaryota; Fungi
Description: eukaryotic LSU rRNA
Rfam family: Eukaryotic large subunit ribosomal RNA
Source: RNAcentral